This 633-nucleotide long non-coding RNA is filed under the name Pan troglodytes (chimpanzee). RNAcentral's name for it is "long non-coding RNA NONPTRT002362". The record is from RNAcentral. Lineage: Eukaryota; Metazoa; Chordata; Mammalia; Primates; Hominidae.
UUCACAGUGUAACUCUUUUCCCCCCUCCUACAGAUGGAGAGUGUUGGCGUGUACGGAUUCUGUGGGUGUAAAGCAAAGAACAAAAUGAAGUGUGAUUCAAGGUGGGAAAUAGCCGCUUCAGCUCCCCCAGGCUGCAGCAGCUACCACACAAAGAAGCAGUCCUAUGGCAAUGACAGGACAUCUGUGUCCAGGAUUUGGAUUUGACGAACUGGCAGUUCCUGCAGGGAUGACGGUACUCCCUAGUUGUGUCUGAAUUGGACGCACCAGCACUUGAGCACACACAAAUGCACGUGAACAGACGGAACAUGUUAUGGGCCUGUUAGCCAAGGAAUGACAGAAUUAAUCCAUGGGCAUUUGCGGCCAGUGUUGUGUUAAACUAAAGGGAAAAAGUGAACUGGAAAAAGCAAUGUUUGUUUUAUGAAAAUCUCAGACCCAGUCCUUAAGUGACAGUUCUGGAAAUGAGGGGUGUCUAAAACAAAGGGCAUCUGAAACUUCGGUUUUUCAGCUUCCUUUCCUUGUCUCAUGACCUCUUUCCUACCCGCUGCCUCUGUUUUCUCUAAUAUGGAACAGUGAAAAUGGGGGCCAGCAAAACAGAUUGUUGAUGUCUGUUGAUUUUAUCAAAGGAAGGUUAGA